GACGAACGCUGGCGGCGUGCUUAACACAUGCCAGUCGAACGGAAAGGCCCUGCUUGCAGGGUACUCGAGUGGCGAACGGGUGAGUAACACGUGGGUGAUCUGCCCUUCACUUCGGGAUAAGCCUGGAAAACUGGGUCUAAUACCGGAUAGGAGCCAUUUUUAGUGUGAUGGUUGGAAAGUUUUUUCGGUGUAGGAUGAGCUCGCGGCCUAUCAGCUUGUUGGUGGGGUAAUGGCCUACCAAGGCGGCGACGGGUAGCCGGCCUGAGAGGGUGGACGGCCACAUUGGGACUGAGAUACGGCCCAGACUCCUACGGGAGGCAGCAGUGGGGAAGAUUGCACAAUGGGCGCAAGCCGGAUGCAGCGACGCCGCGUGGGGGAUGACGGCCUUCGGGUUGUAAACUCCGUUCGCUAGGGACGAAGCUUUUUGUGACGGUACCUAGAGAAGAAGCACCGGCUAACUACGUG
Molecule: ribosomal RNA, 465 nt
Filed under: uncultured bacterium
Lineage: Bacteria
Description: partial 16S ribosomal RNA
Rfam family: Bacterial small subunit ribosomal RNA
Source: RNAcentral